RNAcentral lists this ribosomal RNA (496 nucleotides) under uncultured bacterium. RNAcentral describes it as "partial 16S ribosomal RNA". It matches the Rfam family "Bacterial small subunit ribosomal RNA", at positions 29 to 507 of the family's 1533-position model. The record is from RNAcentral.
AUGAACGCUGGCGGCGUGCCUAAUACAUGCAAGUCGAGCGAACGGACGAGAAGCUUGCUUCUCUGAUGUUAGCGGCGGACGGGUGAGUAACACGUGGAUAACCUACCUAUAAGACUGGGAUAACUUCGGGAAACCGGAGCUAAUACCGGAUGAUAUUUUGAACCGCAUGGUUCAAAAGUGAAAGACGGUCUUGCUGUCACUUAUAGAUGGAUCCGCGCUGCAUUAGCUAGUUGGUAAGGUAACGGCUUACCAAGGCAACGAUGCAUAGCCGACCUGAGAGGGUGAUCGGCCACACUGGAGCUGAGACGCGGUCCAGACUCCUACGGGAGGCAGCAGUAGGGAAUCUUCCGCAAUGGGCGAAAGCCUGACGGAGCAACGCCGCGUGAGUGAUGAAGGUCUUCGGAUCGUAAAACUCUGUUAUUAGGGAAGAACAUAUGUGUAAGUAACUGUGCACAUCGUGACGGUACCUAAUCAGAAAGCAACGGCUAACUACGUG